This 501-nucleotide ribosomal RNA is filed under the name uncultured bacterium. RNAcentral's name for it is "partial 16S ribosomal RNA". It matches the Rfam family "Bacterial small subunit ribosomal RNA", at positions 29 to 523 of the family's 1533-position model. The record is from RNAcentral.
AUUGAACGCUGGCGGCAUGCCUUACACAUGCAAGUCGAACGGCAGCACGGGUGCUUGCACCUGGUGGCGAGUGGCGAACGGGCGAGUAAUACAUCGGAACGUACCUUAUCGUGGGGGAUAACGCAGCGAAAGCUGUGCUAAUACCGCAUACGCCCUGAGGGGGAAAGCGGGGGAUCGAAAGACCUCGCGCGAUUAGAGCGGCCGAUGCCUGAUUAGCUUGUUGGUGGGGUAAAAGCCCACCAAGGCGACGAGCAGUAGCUGGUCUGAGAGGACGAUCAGCCACACUGGGACUGAGACACGGCCCAGACUCCUACGUGAGGCAGCAGUGGGGAAUUUUGGACAAUGGGGGCAACCCUGAUCCAGCAAUGCCGCGUGAGUGCAGAAGGCCUUCGGGUUGUCAAGCUCUUUUGUCAGGGAAGAAACACCGGCUCUAACGCAGUCCGGGAAUGACGGUACCUGAAGAAUAAGCACCGGCUAACUACGUGCCAGCCGCCGCAGUAA